Small nucleolar RNA from Lathyrus oleraceus (garden pea), 107 nucleotides. The record is from RefSeq and is a predicted model, not a curated record. Lineage: Eukaryota; Viridiplantae; Streptophyta; Magnoliopsida; Fabales; Fabaceae.
AGACCGUGAUGAAAACAUAAUCUCAUCAUGUCCUUAUAUCACCCCCAAGCUUCAAAAAGUGACUCUCCAUCUGUCUGUCCGAACGUAGUUAUGUGAUUUCUUAGCAC